UGGUCGCCAAGUUAAAGUAACGCUGGAUAUAAAGUUUGUACAAUGAAGCGUAUACCCGUGAAAUAAUGUUGGUUUAACAGCAAUAUGACACUGUUCAGCAAUUGAACGUCGUAAAACAAAUUGGAAAAAUGGAUUUACUGAAAAGGAUUAUGGCAUGUUAUAUUUGAUAGUAACCUUACUUGUAGAUCUGAAAUAAAAGUCGACGCCAUGCCUCAGCUAAAAACAGACACAGAAGAAGAACUUCGAAAGUUGAUUGAUAAGGUGUUCCAGUAUUUAUUCCGAGUGGCGCUGUUUCAAGUUUCUAUGGGGGCUACAAGUGUCAUAUCAGGGGUUAUGACGUUGCACGUGUCACGUGAUCGAAUGGCGUUCCCUAUUGCAGCAGCUGUUCCAAUAUGGAAUGGUACACUGGUACUAAUAACAGGCGCUCUAGGAAUGUAUAUAUCAAAGGGAGAAAAAACGUUACAAAGUUCUAGCGUCAAAUGCUCAUUCAUUGGAUAUUUUACAAUAUGCAACAUAACCAUUACAACUAGUUUAUUAACAACAGUUUAUGGGGCAGGAUGUAUCGCACAUUGCGUCUCAACAUCUUCUUGUGAACCGGACCACAGCGCUACAUUAUCGUUUAGCGCGCUAAACAUUGUGCUUGGAAUCCUUCUAGUUGUCUGUCAGAUUUUUGGCACGUGUAUGUUCUGUAGAAAAGGCAAUAAAAAGAAGAAAAAGUCGAUUGAUAUGCACGAACUUACAGGAACAACGAAUGCACAGACGCAGUUUCUUGAAAAGUGAAUGAUAUGCAGUUUUUGGGGCAUGCGCAGAAGAGUUGGAUUUCAAAACGAGGUUGCACGAGUCUUUGAAGAGUCUGGUUCUUAUGAACAAAAUAAAAAUUGUGAUACUCAGAUACUCGGCGUUUAUUAACUUGUUACAACCAUGUCAAAGUACGUUUCUGGAGAGAACGUUCAUCUUAUGGAUAUAUAAACCAUACACACAUCAAAGAACGUUGGACACGACGACACAUUCUAAAUCAAAAGGCAUGCAUAACGCCUUUCGAUUCGACAUGCGCUUGAUUCAUUCAAGCGAUGUUGUUGUUCAA
RNAcentral lists this unclassified non-coding RNA (1084 nucleotides) under Owenia fusiformis. RNAcentral describes it as "misc RNA OFUS_LOCUS8027". The record is from RNAcentral. Lineage: Eukaryota; Metazoa; Annelida; Polychaeta; Sabellida; Oweniidae.